RNAcentral lists this long non-coding RNA (5179 nucleotides) under Salvia miltiorrhiza (redroot sage). RNAcentral's name for it is "long non-coding RNA (SMIL_LNC005941)". The record is from RNAcentral. Lineage: Eukaryota; Viridiplantae; Streptophyta; Magnoliopsida; Lamiales; Lamiaceae.
GGCGGCUCCGGAAAUCAAAGUGUAUUCGAGGAGAAGGCAGGGGCAGUAGAUCGCGAGUGCAUGCUGAAGUUGCAGAAGAAGAUUAUUUAUUUAUUUCCAUAUAAUUAGUAGUAUUUGUUAUUUAUUAUUAAUAUUAGUAUUAUUAUUGGUAGUGGGCCUUGCUUGCAUGCAUGGGCUUUAGUAGUAGGGUUUGACACUAUAUAUGUAAUGGUGGGGAGUUAGGGUUGGAGUUUUAUAAAAUCAAGUAAUUGGCGGCAGUAGCUGUGGCGGAAACCUCUGGUUUCCGAGACUAUAUUCGUGUGCUCUUGUGCGUUUAUUGAUUCGUGUUCUUAACUCCAUCAAUUUGGUCCGACCUGCCGGAUCCGAUGGUGAACCCCGACGCCGUUGAAACCCGCAUGGCGGUUCAGAACCGCCGCUUGGAAGAACUGGAGAAGACCACGAAGGACCUCUCGGUCAGUAUGGGAGGCGUCCAAUUAACCGUGGACUCGCUGCAAUCAUCCGUGGGCGGCAUCGAGGCCUCACUCGCUGAGAUCGUUGCCCAAAUCAAGUCAAUCGCUGCCGGAAAAUCAUCGGCCUCAGGGGGGCCGCCACCACCGUCGAACAAUACUGCAAUCGUGCUGCCGCGAAUGGAACUUCCGGGCUUCGACGGUUCGGACCCCAUAGCUUGGCUGGCACAGGCCGAGCAAUAUUUCCUCGUCCACAACACUCCACCCGCCCAACAGGUUUCCACCGCCCUCAUCGCGAUGUCCGGGAAGGCCAUGUUUUGGGCCCAAUGGUUGCUUCGCCGGAACGCUGCCAUCGAGUGGGAUGAAUUUUCGAAGGAGGUGAUCGGCCGUUUUGGUGAUAGCUCCGCCAUCAAUGCAUACGAGGCCAUGCACUUAACGCGCCAAACGGGGUCCCUCGAAGACUACAUCUCACUGUUCGAGGAACGUGUCGCCCAACUGCCGUCGUUACCACCCGAACACUACCUCGGUACAUUCUUGGGCGGCCUCCAGUCUUCAAUCCGUGACCGCCUGACGGACUCGGAGCUCUCAAACGUGCAGUUCGCGAUUCGAGCGGCCCGGCGCCUCGCUCGCGAGGGCAGGAGCACUGCUGCUCCGACGUGAUCGACGCCACAUUCCACACCGUUCUCGAGGCCGACGACUACGUUCCAGCGCUCAUCACUGCCCAGCGAACAGCCCCAUGGCCGGGCAGCCACCAACACCGAUCCCCGAAAUUCUCGCCGAUUGUCUCGUGCACAACAAGAUGAGUAUCGAGCCAAGGGUCUGUGCUUCCGAUGCGGCGGAAAAUACGGACCCUUGCACAAGUGCCCACCAAAAACCUUGGCCAUUCUGUUGGAUGCGGACGAGGAGGAAGAGGCCGAGGAGGAUCCCUACCCCAGCCCGUUGCAGCAUGAGGAAACUUCUGUGGAAGAGGGGGCUACGGGCGCAUUCAACCUUUUGCGUCUAUCUGAGUUAUCGUCUCAUGGCUUGGACAGCGCCCAGACGUUGAGGGUGCCGGUGCGAGUGGGAAGUCAUCAGCUUCGGGCCAUGAUCGAUAGUGGGGCGAGCCACUGUUUUAUAUCGAGCUCGGUGGCGCAGCACCUAGACCUACCAAUCACCUCAGCCCGAUCGUUUUCAGUCAUGUUGGGAGAUGGUUCAAGGGUGACAUCGCGAGGCAUUUGCGAGGCAGUUCCGAUCCUCAUGGCCGAUCAACUCUUCCACGUCGACUGCUACGUGUUUCCCCUCCGCAGUAUUGAUAUUAUUCUGGGAGUUUCUUGGUUGAUGCGAUUGGGAAAGAUCGUUGCCGAUUGGAACACGCUGACGAUGGAGUUUGUGUAUGAAGGACGCCGCAUCUGCCUCCAUGGGGACCCGGCGCUGACUCGACGGGAAUGUCGAGGUGCUGAGAUCGCGGUACUAGGGACCGAAGACGAUGCUUGGCUUCUUGGGCAUUAGAAGGUCCGCAACAUGAGUUCUCUGUUCCGGCGAACCUCACGGCAACACAACUAGAGGAGUGGCGAGCUUUGGUGGCUCGUUUUCCAGAUGUUACUCAGCCCCCAUCCGGCUUGCCACCCCCUCGACUAAGUGAUCACAAAAUUCCGCUACUCGACGGAGCUGCACCGGUAUCCGUGAGACCGUAUCGCUACAAUCACCUACAGAAGGAUGAGAUGGAGAAGCUAGUGACGGAAUGCUCGCGGCCGGCAUCAUUCAACCCAGCUGUAGCCCCUAUUCGAGUCCGGUGUUGUUGGUGCGAAAAAAGGACGGGUCGUGGCGUUUUUGUGUGGAUUACAGAGCGUUGAACAAGGUUACGAUACCGGAUAAAUACCCCAUUCCGGUUAUUCAGGAAUUGUUGGAUGAGUUACACGGUGCUCGAUGGUUCAGCAAGCUCGAUUUACGUGCAGGGUACCAUCAGAUUCGAAUUGCUGAACAUGACAUUCACAAGACGGCCUUCCGAACACAUUCUGGACAUUACGAGUUCUAGUCAUGCCCUUCGGAUUAACUAAUGCUCCAGCUACGUUUCAAAGCCUCAUGAAUGACAUUUUUCGCCCAUAUCUGAGGAAGUUUGUUCUGGUGUUCUUCGAUGACAUUUUAGUGUACAGCUCGUCGUGGGAGGAGCACAUGCAUCACUUGCAACUGGUAUUCAGCGUGCUGAACGAGCAUUCGUUGGUAGUCAAUCCAAAGAAGUGCGCAAUCGGACGAUCCCAAGUGGAAUAUUUGGGCCAUAUUGUGUCGGAGGGCGGCGUACAGAUGGAUCCGGCCAAAGUCAGCGCGGUUUUAAAGUGGCCAACACCGACUUCCUUGCGAGGGCUCCGGGGAUUUUUGGGCCUCACGGGUUAUACCGUCGUUUCAUUCGAGACUACGGCAAAAUCGCAGCUCCUUUAACGGCCCUACUUAAGAAGGAUAUUCAAAAGAAGUGGCAAUGGACGGCCGAGGCCGAUGAUGCUCUUCAGAAGCUGAAAACGGCCCUCACUUCGGCCCCGGUGCUCGGCAUGCCGGACUUCUCGCAACCAUUUGAGGUGGAGUGCGAUGCUUCAGGCCACGAUAUCGGCGCAGUUCUCAUGCAGGCACGACGCCCAAUAGCUUAUUUCAGCAAUCAUUUCUCGGGCAGAGCGUUGACGAGUUCGGCAUAUGAGAAGGAAUUGAUGGCUUUAGUCCUCGCCGUGCAGCACUGGAGAUCGUACUUGUUGGGGCGGCGUUUCGUUGUACGCUCCGAUCAGCGGAGUCUCAAGCAGCUUCUAUCUCAAACACUUGCCACCCCAGCACAGCAGAAUUGGGCGGCAAAGUUACUGGGAUACGAUUUCGAGAUUAUGUAUAAAUAAGGGAGAACGAACACUGCUGCUGACGCGUUAUCUCGCCGGGAUGAGGAGGUUGAAUUGGCGGCAGUCUCUGUGCCCCAGUGGCUGGAUUGGAAGGCCUUGGCGGAGGCGAUUCGCGCGGAUCCACACUUGGGUCGCAUUAGAAUGGCGCUCGAGGAAGAUAGAGAUGCGCCGAAGCAUUACGAGGUGGUGCAAGGUAAUUUAUUUUAUAAGGGCCGAGUGGUGCUACCGAAAAAUUCACCGUGGAUUCCGAAAUUUUUUGCGGAGUUUCAUUCGACGCCUUCCGGUGGUCAUUCGGGAGCAUUUAGAACAUAUCGUCGUAUGGCUUCGAGUUUGUAUUGGCCGGGGAUGCCGAAGUCUGUUGCAGAACUAGUGGCAGCCUGUGAUGUUUGUCAACGGAAUAAAUAUGAGACGAAGAGUCCGGCGGGCUUGUUGAAACCAUUACCAAUUCCGGAUCGCAUUUGGGAAGAUAUCAGCAUGGAUUUUAUCACUGGUCUUCCGCGUUCGGGGGGGUUUGACUGUGUGUUUGUGGUCGUCGAUAGAUUGUCGAAAUAUUGUCACUUCAUGGGGCUGCGACAUCCGUAUACGGCGAAGACGGUGGCGGAGGUAUUUGUGAAGGAAGUGGUCCGAUUGCAUGGGAUACCGGCUUCGAUAGUGUCUGAUCGGGACCCUAUAUUUCUCAGCUCUUUUUGGAAGGAGCUAUUUCGGGCAUCGGGAACGAAGCUACGCAUGAGUUCCGCCUACCAUCCGGAAACAGACGGGCAAACGGAGGUUAUGAAUCGGUGUUUAGAGACAUAUCUUCGCUGCUUUACUUCAGCUCGACCAAAGGGGUGGAGUAACUGGUUGGGUUGGGCUGAAUACUGUUUCAAUACAGGGUUUCAAACGAGUGCGGGAAUGACUCCUUUUGAAGCAGUGUAUGGGCGCCCUCCUCCUCUGCUUAUUCCUUUUCUUCCGGGGGAAAUUCGGGUACAGGCUUUGGCGGAAGAGCUACGUGAACGGGACAUGGUUAUGAAACAUCUCAGAUCUCACCUAGAGCAGGCGCAGGCGCGAUGGUGCACGAGGCGAAUAAACAUCGUCGGGACCUGGAGUUUAAAGUGGGGGACCGUGUCUUUCUCAAGUUCCGACCGUACCGGCAGCGUAGUUUGUUUGCUAUAUCACGACAGAAGUUGGCUCCACGAUUUUUUGGACCUUACGAGGUCGAGGAGAGAGUUGGGUCGGCUGCAUACCGACUGAAGUUGCCACCGGGUUCGAAGGUUCAUCCCGUAUUUCAUGUGAGUCUGUUAAAACCAGUCAUCGGGUCGGCGGAGGCCUCUCUUGCAUUGCCGGAGUCCUUGAUGACAGACGAUCCAGAGUUUUAUCCCGAUACGGUACUGCAGCGCCGUCAGAUACGCCGAAAUGGAGUUGAGGUGGCGCAGGUGUUGAUCCACUGGCGCGGGCUGCCGGCGGAGGAUAGUUCGUGGGAAGAUGUUGCUGUGGUACGGGGGCAAUUUCCUGAUUUCAACCUUGAGGACAAGGUUGUUUCGGGGACGGCGGCAAUUGAUAGCACGGCGGCUCCGGAAAUCAAAGUGUAUUCGAGGAGAAGGCAGGGGCAGUAGAUCGCGAGUGCAUGCUGAAGUUGCAGAAGAAGAUUAUUUAUUUAUUUCCAUAUAAUUAGAAGUAUUUGUUAUUUAUUAUUAAUAUUAGUAUUAAUAUUGGUAGUGGGCUUUGCUUGCAUGCAUGGGCUUUAGUAGUAGGGUUUGACACUAUAUAUGUAAUGGUGGGGAGUUAAGGUUGGAUAUCUAUCAAAAAUCAAGUAAUUGGCGACAGUAGCUGUGGCGGAAACCUCUGGUUUCCGAGACUGUAUUCGUGUGCUCUUGUGCUUUUAUUGAUUCGUGUUCUUAACUC